Molecule: ribosomal RNA, 254 nt
Filed under: uncultured bacterium
Lineage: Bacteria
Description: partial 16S ribosomal RNA
Rfam family: Bacterial small subunit ribosomal RNA
Source: RNAcentral
UACGGGGGGAGCAAGCGUUGUUCGGAUUUACUGGGCGUAAAGGGCGCGUAGGCGGCCAGCACAAGUCAGUUGUGAAAUCUCCGAGCUUAACUCGGAAAGGUCAACUGAUACUGUGCGGCUAGAGUGCGGAAGGGGCAACUGGAAUUCUUGGUGUAGCGGUGAAAUGCGCAGAUAUCAGGAGGAACACCGGUGGCGAAGGCGGAUCUCUGGGCCAUUACUGACGCUGAGGAGCGAAAGCGUGGGGAGCGAACAGG